GAAAUGCGAUAAGUAGUGUGAAUUGCAGAAUUCAGUGAAUCAUCGAAUCUUUGAACGCACAUUGCGCCCUUUGGUAUUCCAAAGGGCAUGCCUGUUCGAGCGUCAUUUGUACCCUCAAGCUUUGCUUGGUGUUGGGCGUCUUGUCUCUAGCUUUGCUGGAGACUCGCCUUAAAGUAAUUGGCAGCCGGCCUACUGGUUUCGGAGCGCAGCACAAGUCGCACUCUCUAUCAGCAAAGGUCUAGCAUCCAUUAAGCCUUUUUUCAACUUUUGACCUCGGAUCAGGUAGGGAUACCCGCUGGACUUAAGC
RNAcentral lists this unclassified non-coding RNA (307 nucleotides) under plant metagenome. RNAcentral's name for it is "partial contains 5.8S ribosomal RNA, internal transcribed spacer 2, and large subunit ribosomal RNA". The stretch from base 1 to 105 matches the Rfam family "5.8S ribosomal RNA", at positions 50 to 154 of the family's 154-position model. The record is from RNAcentral.